AAGUAAUCCACUUUGACAAGAACGUAGCCGAGAGCUGACGUUUCCAGCCGAGUGUUAGCCCACACUCAUUGAGGGUUUGAGAAACGGCAUGUUGACUAACUGCUGGUGUUACUGGCUAUCUACUUAGCGCAGAGUUCUCCCAGUGGCACACUAUGUAGGUCGGACGGCUUUGCCUUUAAAGCAGCUAUUUUUAUACAUUGAAGAGCAAUCAGACUGCCGUCGGGCUGGAUACCAUGAAGUCUAACGAGUAAGAGUUUCUCUCCGUGAGGUGGAGUGAGAUUUCUUGCUGUAUCACUCCCAAACUCAGCUAUUUAUUCUUAUGGGGCACCUCAUCUCCAAUGUUAGUGUGAUUCUAUCAGCUCACUAAAGGUUCAAGAGGGGUGGCCAUUGCCUGGAUGCUUCAGCAGGCUGACCCACAAGAAAAGCCGUCCUGAGGAGGAGAUUUCAUUGGUCAGAAGAUGCAUAGACGAGGCUACACCCCUCACAAGAUCAAAAAUUAACACCUUGCUUGGAACUGUAGUUAAAUUUUAAUCAGCUACACAAAUUAGUGCGCACAUCAGGGCCGCACAUCCCGUAACUGAUUGAGGAAGGUCACUGACACUCAAAGGACUGCUGGAGACCAGGCAUCAGUUCAGCCUCAGCCAGAUGAAGACCCCAUAGUAUUGGCAAUCAAGGACUUCAAGCAAAUGCACAAACAGACACAGGAGUAUCAAAAAGUGUAUUGACUAUCAGCAAAAUCAUGGAUGGUAUUGCCAACAGUGCUAUCAAGUAGUUUACUCACCAAUAGCCUGCUCAAUGCUGUUCCGUUUGAGUUCUAUCAGGAUGACUUUGCUCAGGAUCUCUUUUCAGCCUUUGUUCAAAUAUGGAUGCACAAGUUGAAAUCCAGAAGUGAGAUGAGAGUGGCUGCCCUUGGCAUCAGGUGGAAUUUGACUAAAUGUGACAUCAAGGAGUCCUGGUAAAAUUGUUAUCCAUGUGAAUUGACAGGAGAGGGGUGAAACUUUCUACUGCUUGGAGUCAUACCCAGCAGAAAAGAAGGUGGUUAUAGUGUCUCAUCCCCAGGACAGCACUGCAAGAGGUCUUCAGAGGCAGUAUCCUGAGACCAAUAAUCAUCAAUAAUCUUCCUUCCAUCGUAAGGCCAGAAGUUACCAUGUUCAAUUAUGAUUGUUUAAUGUACAGUUCCAUUCGUAACUCAUCAGAUAAUGAAGCAAUCUGAAGCCUGAAUGCAGCAAGGCAUAGACCACAUUCAGAUGUGGCCUGAUAAGUGGCAGGAAACAGUCACAGAACACAAGCUCCAGGCAACAACCACAAAGAAAGAAAGACUUCUCUUCAUAUUGGCUUUUCACGAUUACUGAAUUUUCCCAGAAAAAUGUAUAACCAAUGAAAUACUUCUGUACUUUUCACAUGGUUAUAAUGUAGGAAACGUGGUAGCUGAUUUGUACAAAACAAAUUUAUGCAAAUAAUUAUGUUUAGUCACCAGAUAAUCUAUUUUUGUGAUGUUGAUUGUUGGAUAGACAAUGCCAGAACACUAGGAUGAAUUUCCUGGUGAGGAGACCUUUUACAUUUACUUGAGCAAACAGAGAGUUAUGAACACAGCCCAGUCCAUUAUGCAAACCAAACUUGCAGCCACUGCCCUCAGGAAAGCAACCAACGUAAUCAAAGACCCUUUCACCCCAGACAUGCUCUUUUCUGGCCUCUUUCAUUGGGCAAAAGAUAUAAAAGUUUGAAUAUGCGCACAAACAGAUCAAAGAACAGCUCCUUCCUCGCUGUUAUCAGACUUUGGAACAGACCUCUCAGAUGUUAUUUCUGAUCUCUGUCUGCGCCCUCUCUGCAGCUGUAACACUGCAUUCUGCACUCUGUCUUGCUACCCUGAUGCGUUUUGUAUGGUACAAUCUCCCUUUGUAACAUACAAAAAACAUUUUUCACUGUAUCUUAGUAUGUGACAACAAAAAAAAUCAAUCAAGUCAGAUGCUACCUUAGUUUAACAUCUCAUUUAAAAGUUGGUAUCUGCCCCAUUACUGCUCUCAUUCAGCCUUACGUUUCACACUCAGGUAAUGCGAUUAGACGUGAGUUAGGAAGCAUGGACUGGGAGCAAUUGUUCCAUGGUAAAGGCACUAUAGACAUGUGGAGACUGUUUAAGGAACAGUUGUUGCGAGUGAUGAGUAAAUAUGUCCCUCUGAGACAGGCAAGAAGGGGUAAGAUAAAGGAACCUUGGAUGACGAGAGCGGUGGAGCUUCUUGUGAAAAGGAAGAAGGUAGCUUACAUAAGGUGGAGGAAGCUAGGGUCAAGUUCAGCUAGUGAGGAUUACACGCAGGCAAGGAAGGAGCUCAAAAAUGGUCUGAAGAGAGCCAGGAGGGGGCACGAGAAAGGCUUGGCAGAACGGAUUAGGGACAACACAAAGGCAUUUUACACUUAUGUGAGGAAUAAGAGAAUGGUCAAAGAAAGAGUAGGGCCAAUCAGGGAUAGUAUAGGGAACUUGUGUGUGGAGUCCGAGGUGG
Long non-coding RNA from Stegostoma tigrinum, 2495 nucleotides. RefSeq lists it as uncharacterized. The transcript has 5 exons. The record is from RefSeq and is a predicted model, not a curated record. Lineage: Eukaryota; Metazoa; Chordata; Chondrichthyes; Orectolobiformes; Stegostomatidae.